GAUGAACGCUAGCGGCAGGCUUAACACAUGCAAGUCGAGGGGCAGCGUGAUGAAGUAGCAAUACGGAUUUGACGGCGACCGGCGCACGGGUGCGUAACGCGUAUGUAACCUACCUUUAACAGGGGGAUAACACUGAGAAAUUGGUACUAAUACCCCAUAACACUUUGAGAGGCAUCUCUUGGAGUUGAAAGUUCCGGCGGUUAAAGAUGGACAUGCGUUGUAUUAGCUAGAUGGUGAGGUAACGGCUCACCAUGGCGACGAUACAUAGGGGUUCUGAGAGGAAGGUCCCCCACACUGGAACUGAGACACGGUCCAGACUCCUACGGGAGCAGCAGUGAGGAAUAUUGGGUCAAUGGGCGCAAGCCUGAACCAGCCAAGUAGCGUGAAGGAUGACUGCCCUAUGGGUUGUAAACUUCUUUAUACGGGAACAAACUCCGGUACGUGUACCGGUCUGCGUGUACCGUAUGAAUAAGCAUCGGCUAACUCGUGCCAGCAGCCG
RNAcentral lists this ribosomal RNA (499 nucleotides) under uncultured bacterium. RNAcentral's name for it is "bacterial SSU rRNA". It matches the Rfam family "Bacterial small subunit ribosomal RNA", at positions 28 to 517 of the family's 1533-position model. The record is from RNAcentral.